RNAcentral lists this ribosomal RNA (254 nucleotides) under uncultured bacterium. RNAcentral describes it as "partial 16S ribosomal RNA". It matches the Rfam family "Bacterial small subunit ribosomal RNA", at positions 524 to 776 of the family's 1533-position model. The record is from RNAcentral.
UACAGAGGGGGCAAGCGUUGUCCGGAAUUACUGGGCGUAAAGCGUACGCAGGUGGCCGUGCAAGUGUGAUGUGAAAGCCCCCGCGCUUAACGCGGGGAGGCCAUUACAGACUGCACAGCUUGAGGGAUGCAGAGGGUCGUGGAAUUGCCGGUGUAGUGGUGAAAUGCGUAGAGAUCGGCAGGAACACCAAGGACGAAGGUAGCGACCUGGGCAUUCCCUGACACUCAUGUACGACAGCGUGGGGAGCGAACCGG